Molecule: long non-coding RNA, 1757 nt
Organism: Bos indicus x Bos taurus (hybrid cattle)
Lineage: Eukaryota; Metazoa; Chordata; Mammalia; Artiodactyla; Bovidae
Source: Ensembl
AUUAAGGAAAAAAAGUCCCUAAUAGGAAUGCAGAACGCCAGCGGACGCCUAUUUUUAGUGCCUCUUGACAUUUUAUUUUCUUGUAAACAACCGAUGGCGUGUCAGGCAUUUAAAAUGUCCUUUUUGAAAACAGGAACAGAAAGGAAGAAAGAAAAGGGGAAAUAGAAAUAAACCGCGCACGUGGACAGAACGCCGUCGGCCAACAUAUUAUUUCCCGCUUUGUCUGACGCUCCGAGCCAGGCAGGUGGGCCUGUGGUUCCGUUACAACCUGUGUUCACGUUUCCCUGUGGAUCGAACGCCCGAGAUAACCUUGCAUCAGAUACAGGAAAACAAAAGCAGCUCUCACUAGAGAACCCUGGAGGCUGCUCAGGAAUCCGGGCCUUGCCGUGUGCUGGCCCUGAGGCGGCAGGAGACGGCCGGAGUCUGCCCCGCGGGCACCGCUGAGCGUAAAUCCUGUCAUCACAGGCGGGACCGGCGGCUGGGCCCACAGACGAGCGGGGCACGCCCGGCCGCGGUCGGACAGCCGCCUCCGGGCAGGUCCCACGGCAGCGCGCCCCCCGACUGGAAACAGCACGGCUAUGUCUCAGGAUCGGCUCCGGAGCCGCCGACGGAUCCCGAGGUGCUUGUGAAACCCCUGAACACGAGGGCCGGCACUGCGUUCCACGGACAGGAGUCAGAGGAGGAGGACAGAGACGCGAGCGUCCCUGGGCUCACGUUUCCGGAGCUGGUGAGUGCACAUGGAGUCGGUGCUUCCUGAAUCAAUGGAUGAACCAUGUCAGAGUAUCGGUUGCCUUUAAAUAGCUGGCAGUGUGGUGGCUCAGUUGGUAAAGAAUCUUCCUGCGAUGCAGGAAGACCUGAGUUCCAUCCCUGGAUCGGGAAGAUCCCCUGGAGAAUAGAGUGGCUGCCCACUGCAUUAUUAUUGCCUGGAGAAUCCCAUGGACAGAGGAGCCUGGUGGGCUACAGUCCAUAGGGUUGCAAGGAGUCAGACACGACCGAGUGGCUUUCACUACACUACUAUAUAUAGUGAACGUUGGAUGGCAUCACUGACUCAACGCACCCGAGUUUGAGCAAACUCUGGGAGAUGGUAAGGUCAGGGAAGCCUGGUGCGCUGCAGUCCACGGGGUUGCAAAGAGUCAGACACGACUGAUGGACUGAACACCACCACCACAUGUGCACACACACACACACACACACACAUGCGUGUGCGCGCACACACACACACACACACACACACACGUGUGCGUGCGCGUAUUUGUGCUGUGCAGGCAGUAGCGAACAGGAAAUCCAUAACUCGGCUUUCCCCGCUGGGUAGCAGAGGCUUUGCAUCUGAGGCGCACCACGGAGAGAUGUGUUAGUUGUCACGCCUCAAAAUGCAGUGGCGUGCGUUGUCCCUGUAAGACACGGAUUCCGGGAGGAGAGGAGAAACGUACCCUCCCCCGUGCCUUCUCCAGCCGAGGACUGAACCAGCUCUCGAGGAAAGCCUUUCUCGAGGAAAGCCGUGGGGACCAUCCCCGCCGCUCACUCUUCGGAAACCCCAGGCUGCUUAUCGCGGCGUCUUGAAAUAAUACACACGGAAGUGUCUCCACUCCAGAAUAAUGGGAUUUUGAAAGAGAACAUCCUCUCCACUUAGCUGAAUUUGGAUGUAAUGUGAUUUGUGAUCACCAAAGAAGAAAACAGGACCAGGGUAGCUAACUGUACUACGAGUGUGGAGAAAAGGUUUAAGUAGAAGUAUUUACAAUAGUUUUUUUCUGUGCAUU